GCGAUAGUGGCGUAGUUGGUAACGCACGACCUUGCCAAGGUCGAGACCGCGGGUUCGAGCCCCGUCUAUCGCU
Molecule: transfer RNA, 73 nt
Filed under: Ruminococcus sp. AM18-44
Lineage: Bacteria; Bacillati; Bacillota; Clostridia; Eubacteriales; Oscillospiraceae
Description: tRNA-Gly
Rfam family: tRNA
About the family: Transfer RNA (tRNA) molecules are approximately 80 nucleotides in length. Their secondary structure includes four short double-helical elements and three loops (D, anti-codon, and T loops).
Source: RNAcentral